GGCCUACGGGAGGCAGCAGUGGGGAAUAUUGGACAAUGGGCGCAAGCCUGAUCCAGCCAUACCGCGUGUGUGAAGAAGGCCUUCGGGUUGUAAAGCACUUUAAGCAGGGAGAAAAAGUUAUAAGUUAAUACCUUAUAACCGUGAUGUUACCUGCAGAAUAAGCACCGGCUAAUUCCGUGCCAGCAGCCGCGGUAAUACGGAAGGUGCAAGCGUUAAUCGGAAUUACUGGGCGUAAAGCGCGCGUAGGUGGUUUGUUAAGUUGGAUGUGAAAGCCCUGGGCUCAACCUAGGAACUGCAUCCAAAACUAACUCACUAGAGUACGAUAGAGGGAGGUAGAAUUCAUAGUGUAGCGGUGGAAUGCGUAGAUAUUAUGAAGAAUACCAGUGGCGAAGGCGGCCUCCUGGAUCUGUACUGACACUGAGGUGCGAAAGCGUGGGUAGCGAACAGGAUUAGAUACCCUGGUAGUCCACGCCGUAAACGAUGACAACUAGCUGUUGGAAGACAAUGUCUUUCAGUGGCGCAGCUAACGUUUUAAGUUGUCCGCCUGGGGAGUACGGCCGCAAGGCUAAAACUCAAAUGAAUUGACGGGGACCCGCACAAGCGGUGGAGCAUGUGGUUUAAUUCGAUGCAACGCGAAAAACCUUACCUACUCUUGACAUACUUGGAAGCUCUUGUAAUGAGAGUGUGUCUUUUGGAGC
Molecule: ribosomal RNA, 698 nt
Filed under: uncultured Gammaproteobacteria bacterium
Lineage: Bacteria; Pseudomonadati; Pseudomonadota; Gammaproteobacteria
Description: bacterial SSU rRNA
Rfam family: Bacterial small subunit ribosomal RNA
Source: RNAcentral